This 120-nucleotide ribosomal RNA is filed under the name uncultured bacterium. RNAcentral describes it as "partial 16S ribosomal RNA". It matches the Rfam family "Bacterial small subunit ribosomal RNA", at positions 32 to 149 of the family's 1533-position model. The record is from RNAcentral.
AAUCAACGCUGGCGGCGCGCUUAACACAUGCAAGUCGCACGAGAAAGGGAGCAAUCCUAAGUAAAGUGGCGCACGGGUGAGUAACACGUGGAUCAUCUACCUUUUAGUGGGGAAUACCUC